This is a long non-coding RNA of Rattus norvegicus (Norway rat), 667 nucleotides long. RefSeq lists it as uncharacterized. The record is from RefSeq and is a predicted model, not a curated record. Lineage: Eukaryota; Metazoa; Chordata; Mammalia; Rodentia; Muridae.
AUUGGCGCUAUGGAAACAAGGGAGGUUGGGGGGGGUAGGGCCCUGGCGGUUCGGUUUCCGCCCUCGGCUACCGCUCCCCCACCCUCCUAAUGCCGGCCAGGGUUUCGAAGAGGGACAAAGGAAGACCUGGGGGUUCCAGAGUUAGGAGAGGGAAUGGCGGAGGAAGAGGCCGGGAAGGAGCUGUGCGGCUGUCCAGGGUGCUGAACUUGGGAACCAAGCUCAGAUAUUCACCCUAUCCCAAGGAGACUUGACCCCGCCUCGGCCCAACUCACGCGUGCCGUCAAAGCGAGUGGCGAUGGUGUCCAGAAAGGUGUUUUGCGGGGCCAGCAACCCCUUCAUGACCGGCAUGGCCCCGGGAUUGCUCCAGCCACGUGACACCGUGACACCGAGUGGAUGGCUUAAACAAUUCUGGGAUCUGGAAAUCUGAGUACAAGGUGAACUCAGGGCUGGAUCCCUCUGAAGGCUGUGAAGAAGAAUCUCUUCCUUGCUCUCUUCCAACUUCUAGGUGGACUGCUGGUGACCGCUGGCAUUUCUUAGCUGGUGGGUGCAUUGCCCUGAUUUUUAUUCCCAUGUUCAUGUGAGCUCUUCCUGUUUCUGUGUACCCUAAUCCCCCCUUUUUUGUAAGACCACUACUUAUACUGGAUUACAGGUCUCCUAUCUCACCUUA